Molecule: long non-coding RNA, 1111 nt
Filed under: Stegodyphus dumicola
Lineage: Eukaryota; Metazoa; Arthropoda; Arachnida; Araneae; Eresidae
Description: uncharacterized LOC118187431, transcript variant X4
Source: RNAcentral
AGUAAUGGUUUUUCAUAGUGAGUGCAAAAUCACCCAGUUAUGUUGGAUGCAUGAUUUCUGAAGAUAAAUUGAUGAUAACUUAACUAUCUGCAAGCUCCUGCUUUAGAUGCAAUUGCAUGAGAAGUUGAUGUAUAGUUAAAGAAUUUUAUUAUCAACGCAAGUACUUCAGAAGGUCUUUUAUAAGAUAAAAAAAAAAUCAAUAAGAAGUUUUAGUUGGCACAGAUGAAAUAAGAACAUUUAUCUUUGCUGUGCAAGUGACCUCUUCAAAAGACACCUUCAGGCACAGACACUUCUCCAAUAGAAUACAAUUGUACUGAAUACAGAUGCCAAGAAUUCUUUUAUCCUUGCUCUAAUUGGAUAGAAGAUCUGCUGUGUCCAGAGGGUUCCAAAUGCUGCAAGGAUUUCUGAUAGAUAUUUCGUCUCAGCAUUCUUAUUCCUCUCUAUGUGAGACAGAAAUCUUCAAUAUUGCAUUUGCUCCUCUGACUGCUUGCAUGGCUCCACGAAUCUGCAGACCUGUCAAUCGUUGCUGCUUCCCUCGAGACGGGGACUGUCCUGUUGGAAAAGUUUGCUGUCAAAUGUGGAGGUUGAGCUAACAAAGCGAUCAGCACAUUUUCUUGUAGUUGGCUGAAUUUCUCAUUCAACUGAUACUCAAAAUGUUUUGUUGUUGGAUAUAAAUGUAAAAAUUUUAAAUAAGCAUUUAUUGGAAAUUUUAUUUGUUUUCACAAAGUGCAUUUCUUUCCUAUGCGUGUUUUCCUAUCUUCAAUGUAAACUGUUCUAAACGUGAUCAUUGAAAAUGCUUUUCUUAAAAGUAUUUUGCUGCGUGCUUUUGAUUGAUUUAUAUUUUAACAGGAUAACCGUUUUAAAAUUGUAACAGACGAUAAAAAUUUAUCGAAGUUGAUUAUUUACAUGAUAUUGCUUCAUCUGUUUUAUGAUAGACGAUAAAAGUGUACGGCAAUUUUAUUUUUCAUGAAAUUUCGUGUGUUUCUUUUGUAAUAACCGAUAAAAAUGUGUGCCAGGUCUAUUUCAUAAAGAGUUUCUUAUGUUUUCAAUAUUUUUAUUUGCUGAAAACAAAUGUGGAGCUUAGAAUAAAAAAUCCAAUUUAUCACUGAAA